GCCGUGAUGGCGGAACUGGUAGACGCAACGGACUCAAAAUCCGUCGACCGCAAGGUCAUGAGAGUUCGAUUCUCUCUCGCGGCA
RNAcentral lists this transfer RNA (84 nucleotides) under Candidatus Magasanikiibacteriota bacterium. RNAcentral describes it as "tRNA-Leu". It matches the Rfam family "tRNA". From Rfam's summary of the family: Transfer RNA (tRNA) molecules are approximately 80 nucleotides in length. Their secondary structure includes four short double-helical elements and three loops (D, anti-codon, and T loops). Lineage: Bacteria; Candidatus Magasanikiibacteriota. The record is from RNAcentral.